GGGGAUGAUAUGAAUCUGGCUGCAGUACCAGUCACCACAUUGAUGGCCCGAAUUUAUUCCAUUGACCUGGCAGACUGGACUGGUGUUUCCUUAUUUUCUCAUGUGCAGUUUUCCUAAAGUUGUAUAUUCAGGAAGAAAAGCUUAAUUUCCUGGACUAUUCUGGACAUGUGAUUCAGCUGCCUCUGUUCUGCCAUUGGAAAGGUGUGUAAACAAAACUUAUGGGAACACCAGGGAAAGGUUCAUGGAGAAGGUUCUUUUUCAGCUU
Gorilla gorilla gorilla (western lowland gorilla) is the source of this 265-nucleotide unclassified non-coding RNA. Its record names the gene 7SK. It matches the Rfam family "7SK RNA". Rfam says of the family: 7SK was discovered as an abundant small nuclear RNA in the mid-70s but a possible function has only recently been suggested. Two independent studies have found that 7SK RNA binds the CDK9/cyclin T complex (known as elongation factor P-TEFb). P-TEFb activates transcription by phosphorylating the C-terminal domain of RNA polymerase II. Lineage: Eukaryota; Metazoa; Chordata; Mammalia; Primates; Hominidae. The record is from Ensembl.